GGCGAUAAUCGUUCGGGAUAAGGCUCCGGAAAGAAAUUAGAAUGCAUUGAACUUCUUAAGUUGUAAACAAAGUCAGUCACAUAAGCACUCCCGCAUGUUCUGGAUACGUGAUCAUGGACGUCUUCACCGAGUCGCGGACGUAGGUUACACGUAACCGGAAAUGGGAGUUGUACUGAGCCGUUAUUUGAGACUUUAUUUUGUAUUUUAUUAAUUUUUGGUUUUACAGGUACUUUAGAUUUUUUAUCGGACCUGUCUGUGGUCUUUGAAUAAUUCUGACUCAUGUUCAGUGAUUUCCAGAGGGGUUUACACGCUAGGAGGAUUUAGGUUAGUAUUUUCGCUGCGGCACAGCUGAGGUCACUUUAAAUUUAUUGCUAGCAAUUUUUUGUUUGUGUGAGCAACUCUCACUUAGCGAGCAACUUCUCGCUUAACGAGCAACUUCUCGUAAAACAACAGGCAACUUCCUGUGUCUUUCUGCUUUUAAUUUACUGCUUUUAACCCUUGUAUGGUAAUCGGGUCUGUGAGACCCGUUUUCAGUUUUCUUUCGUUUUUUUUUUUGUUUUUUUUUUUUAACAAAAUUAAAUUUAAUUAUUUACUAGCUUUCUGUGAGUGAGCAACUUCUCACUUUUUAACGUACGUUUCAAGAUAACAGGCAACUUCCUGUGUCCACCAACACCACACAAGGGUUAAUUUACUUUAUUCGGGGACUGAGGAAGUCGUCAGUGUAUCUCUCUGGAUCACUAAGUGAAACUUCGUCAGCAUAUCCCGUUUCUUUAUGGAUCGAUCACUGAGAGAGGUAUAAUAGGUCUUUAUAUAAAUAUGAAAGACGCAUAUUUACCUUCUGUCAGUUAUCCCACUUCUGACACCAAAUUGAAGGAAAUUGCCGUCCCGGGUUUCCUCCGUGGCGUGAGCGAUAAGCAGAGUUCUGUCCUUUCCUUCUAAGAUUCCUAAUUAUUUAAAGUAACACUCAGGUAUGCCGUUCAGCUGGGUUAGUUACAGCGCCGGGAGCAGCUUGGGAGAACAAGGAAACACAGACUGCUUCAGGUUGCCUUCCC
Long non-coding RNA from Astatotilapia calliptera (eastern happy), 1052 nucleotides. The record is from Ensembl. NCBI's taxonomy places the organism in Eukaryota, Metazoa, Chordata, Actinopteri, Cichliformes, Cichlidae.